This 375-nucleotide ribosomal RNA is filed under the name uncultured bacterium. Its description in RNAcentral is "bacterial SSU rRNA". It matches the Rfam family "Bacterial small subunit ribosomal RNA", at positions 524 to 898 of the family's 1533-position model. The record is from RNAcentral.
UACGUAGGGGGCGAGCGUUGUCCGGAUUUAUUGGGCGUAAAGCGUGCGUAGGCGGCCAGGUAAGUUGGAUGUCAAAGCCAGCGGCUCAACCGCUGUCCGCAUCCAAAACUGUCUGGCUUGAGUGCAGGAGAGGAGAGCGGAAUUCCCGGUGUAGCGGUGGAAUGCGUAGAGAUCGGGAGGAACACCAGUGGCGAAGGCGGCUCUCUGGCCUGUUACUGACGCUGAGGCACGAAAGCGUGGGGAGCAAACAGGAUUAGAUACCCUGGUAGUCCACGCCGUAAACGAUGAGUGCUAGGUGUUGGGGAGGUUUAACUCCUCAGUGCCGAAGGUAACCCAUUAAGCACUCCGCCUGGGGAGUACGGCCGCAAGGCUGAA